Molecule: unclassified non-coding RNA, 310 nt
Filed under: uncultured fungus
Lineage: Eukaryota; Fungi
Description: partial contains 5.8S ribosomal RNA and internal transcribed spacer 2
Rfam family: 5.8S ribosomal RNA (bases 1-133)
Source: RNAcentral
UGGUUCUGGCAUCGAUGAAGAACGCGGCGAAAUGCGAUAAGUAAUGUGAAUUGCAGAAUUCAGUGAAUCAUCGAAUCUUUGAACGCACAUUGCGCCCGCCGGUAUUCCGGCGGGCAUGCCUGUUCGAGCGUCAUUUCAACCCUCAGGCCUGCCUGGUGUUGGAGCACCACUACUGUGGGCUCCCAAAUUCAGCGGCGGGCGCGGCCCGGACCCGAGCGUAGUAACUUACAUCGCUUAGGGUGCCGAGCGUGUCUCAGCCGUUAAAUAUAUUUUCUAGGUUGACCUCGGAUCAGGUAGGAAUACCCGCUGA